CCGAGUCUGGGGAGCGAUACGGCGGUCGGCGGCGGCUCAUCGCUGUUGUCCGUCCGGCGCAGCAGAGCGAGAGGGAGGUGGCAGCGCCCUCGCCGUUGCCAAGGAGGGAGGCGGACGAGGGGUGGUGUCUGGGCAUGAGCUCAUAGUUGGUGUGUGCGUGAGAUGAGAGGGAGAGAGAUGAAAUGGGGGUGGACGGCGGCUGGACAGCGGGGCUGUUCAGUGGAGGGAGGCAGGGCACGGCGGCUGUGCCGCUGCUGCCCGGCCACGGUUGGAGAGAAGGAGGUGGGCUGGUCGGAGCUGGUCUGGGUGGAGGGUUGAGCGGAGAACGACGGCGGCGGUGGUGGCAGUUUGGUGGCUGCUACUCGCUGGGAAUUUGAGGGCGGCGAUGGCGGUACCAUCGGCCAAAGUUGAGCCGAGGAGAGGGAGGAGCGUCGGCGGCGGCUCAGCUGCUGCCGAUCAGACCCAGGAGAGAGAGAGAUGGGAAUCGGAGUCACCGGUCGGCGGCGGCUUUUGCUGCUGCAGUCGCCGGAAGGAAAGAGAAUGGAGGGGUCGAGGGUGAUGGUGAGGAUGACAGAGCGGCGCUCGUCGCCGGAGGGUGGUACGCGGCCGUGAAGUCCGAGAGAGAGGGAGAAGAGGAGGGGCGUCGAGAGAGGGGCGGCGUGUGUUGGUUUGUGUGUGUGGGGGCAACCUUGAGUGAAAUAAAGUCGAGGGAGUCGGGAGAGGGGUGACCGGCGACGCCUACCGCCGGAGGAGAGAAGAGGGCGAAGGGGGGUGCCUUGCAGCGCAGCUGCUGUGUGCUGUGUGCUGUGUG
Molecule: long non-coding RNA, 811 nt
Filed under: Salvia miltiorrhiza (redroot sage)
Lineage: Eukaryota; Viridiplantae; Streptophyta; Magnoliopsida; Lamiales; Lamiaceae
Description: long non-coding RNA (SMIL_LNC003556)
Source: RNAcentral